ACCACAACCAUUAAGUUAUGAAAAUAAGCUUAUUUUAUCUACAUGUCACUAUCCCCCAUUGAACUACAUUGGAUAUUGACCACCUCUAUGAUUCAGGCUAGUUUUCAAUUCAGAUUUACUGCCAUCAGAUUUUUUUAUCAUGAUAUCAUAGGUUAUUAUAGCAAAAUUAAAUACCCUAAUCCAUCUGCUAGGCACAGUAGAAGCUAUGGAUUGAGAAAAUCAAGGAGUCAGGCAAAGUGGAAGGAAUUAUCAUCGCUGCUUGGACUUGGCAGCGAAAUAAUCCCGGAGAAAUUCCAUCUUUCUAUGAUGAAAUCAGGCUCUAUAUGUGCUCCUGUAAUGAUACGAUACACAAGUAUUCAGCCCUGCAAACAGCUUGGAUAGCACUUUGUGGAACAAAAUGGAUGCAAUUGGAUUAGAGAUGUUUCCAAGUCAGGAAAUUGAAAUCCUUCAAAGAGUGAAAGAUAACUGAGAAUCUCAAGGAAGGCAAAAAAUUCUCAGGGAUACCAUCAAAUUCACCUUCAAAGGAUAAAAGGCAGUCCUCUGGAGCAAGCUCUGGAGUACUGAAGACAAGUUCUCACUAUGUCACCCAGGCUGGUCUUGAACUCCCGUCCUCAAGUUAUCCUCCCGCCUUGGCUUACCAAAGUGAUGGGAUUACAGGCAUGAAUCACUGAGCGUGGCCUCUGAUUUAGUUUUGACUCAGAAAAAAGGAAGAGGUUGGAAAAGAAUAGAGAAGAAAAAGAAAAAAAGAAGCAUUCAUAUUGCUUGUACAUCAUUGCCAAUCCUCCAUUCUGGAAGUAGGCGAUGCCUUAAAGUGGGAUGGAAUGACUUAUGUAGGGUUGACAGAAGCAAAAACCAUUUUUGGUCAGAAGCACAAAUUCUUCUACACAGGUUGGAAGAAGUGAUAUAGAAUGUAUAUGGCCUGUAUGUGUUCCUGAUGCAUAAAGCAACAAAUAAAAGUCUACUUUAUUAAACGAAGACGUUGCCAUUCAUCUUCAGAUCUCAGAUCACCCUGUGAGUGCAAAGUGAGUAUUGAAAGAGGUAAAAGGGAUAGGAAUCAGGCCCCAAAUUCAUACUACUAGGCUGAGAAAUCUAUGCAACUCUGAGCAGUUUCUGGCAGCUCUAAAAGACCCAGGCCAGACUGCUGGUGUGAAACGCUGAUCUGGCUAUAAACACCUCCAGCCACUGAGCUACUCUCUCUUCGCGGAAUGAAGCUUCCUACCACAAACCAAAUGAAUUGCCAGGCGUUCCCUCUGAACACAUUACUCCCCGCUUUUUGACUUCUUUGUAUCAUGUUCAGUUUUCUCACUCCAGAAUUCCUGGCCUUCCAUUAUCACCUUCUUUUUCUCUUUAUUAAAUAAGAAGUCCACUUUCCAAUGUCUUUAGUGUUUCUACAAAAGCUGAGGAGGUCAUCUUUUUUCUAUUCACAGUCUCUUUAUUCAGUCAAAAAAAUCUUUAAAUCCUGACUCAAGAUAGAGGGCAAAAGCAAGCUUUUCUGCUGUAAUUACCCUAAUGCUGUCCACAUUCAAUCUACUAAAAACAAACAAACAAAAGGGAACAUCAGAAAGGAAAGCUGCCACCAAAACAGAAACAAACACAAAUUCCAAAUAUUAAAACCUAAAGAGAAGAAUAUUGGAUGCUAGUUCCUCAAGUCUGUCUGCUUGCACACUACUAUACUGUACUACAUGGUACCAUGUUAGUUAGAGAGAAGUGCCUCUCUAGGUCCAGAGGCUUGAGCAUGUGGGAGGAUCUAUUCAGGAUAUGGGCAAGGUAUGUGACACAAUGACCCUUUGCAAUGCACAUAGAGACUCCCAUCCAAAUCCACAGUUUCACCAUAACCACUCUGUUAUUGAAGUAUUUGUUGCAAGUUAAGCUACUUGAUUUAUUUUCCUUUUCAAAAAUAACACUAAGAAACCAACUCACCACAGAAUGCAAACAUUUCUCUCAGGAAUUCACACCCUAUUGAGGUCCCCAGGGAGAAAUUCAGUGAACAACUCUGGAUGAAGAAUGUUACUCUAAUACAAAUCAAAGCAGGGUCACCACACAAAAAUAACUCUUGUCCCUACACUAAAUGCAGAGGAAAAGAAAUACUUGAGGCUGGUUGUGGAGAGUCAUCAAUAAGGUAAAAGAUGAGGCUGUUUUCCAGGUUAUAUAAACUUUUAAAACAUAAUUUUCUUUUUAAAAAGUUUAAUCUAUUUAUUUAUUUAUUUUGAGACCAGGUUAUGAGACGGGUUAAUUUUUGUAUUUUUGGUGGAAACGGGGUUUCACCGUGUUGCCAAGGCUAGUCUCGAACCCCUUGGCCUUAAGCGAUCCACCCGCCUGGGCCUCCCAAAGUGCUGGGAUUACAGGCGUGAACCACCAUGUCCAGCCACCAGGUUAUAUAAACUUUUGAUAUAGCUUCAGCAAUCCCUAGUAGGAUUAUUUCGAAGUUUUGAUCUCAGUGGCUUGGCUAGAUUUCCUAAUUCCAGUAACUUUUGUAACUCUUUUUGAUGCCCCAUCCUCAUUUAAGUUCAAAACUAAAAAUAGCAAUGAUAUAGGUGGAAGCAGCCACAGGGGCAGGAGUACCAGAUGAUAAGUUUUCUCUUUUUACUUGUCCACAAAGAACAAUAACCUCAGGACUUGAAGGAGCUUCAGUGUAUUGCAAGGGAAACUUACCAAUUUGUUACUGAGGGAGUUUAUUCAAUUCCUCAGCUAGCACCCUGAUAUCAUUAUUUCAAAAGAAAUGGUCACAAGGAGGCAGGAGAAUUUAAGGACACACUUCAUUACUGAAGUUUUUAAUCUGUGUGAAUUCAACUGUCAAGAUUUCCAUUGUAGCAAAGCAAUCCAUGUAAAAGUCUGAGACUGCUCUGUGGAAAGUUGCUGUUCACUUAAUCAUCAGGUAGGCUGGGUUCCACCUCAACAUUAGCUAUUACUUAUACCCAUCCAGUCAAGCAUAACCAACAUAACCUCUGCAUUGCUGGACAAGCAUGCAGCAGUGUCCUGCCUGAAAUCAAAGGAAAAUUUGCAGUUUUACUAAAAAGAUUCAUGGCUCUCUGGAAAACCACCUUAAAUAAUUUAGGAACCUGAGAAAGCAACCAAACGAUAUUAAUGAACACUCACGACCUCUGCAUCACACUUUUCGACAUUAGAUAUGCUGAAGCCUGGGUGAUGGCCCUCCUACAGUCUGUGAAGUUGAUGCAAUAUCUAGCUCACUAGUUUGCUUGUUAUCUGCCUCUAAGCUUGCAUCAAACCAAAGCAGUUUCUCUACUUCUUCACUAACUAAUGCACUGUGGAAACCCAGUGUUUCUUAAAUACUUGCUAUUAAAAGGCAUCUUUAAUGUGUUGCCUUUUAUAAUGACACAAAAGGGCAUGCAUUUUACAUUAUACUUCUAGUGGAGCUGCCAGAUGUAGGCUAAUCAAUGCAAAUAAUCUAAUCUUUUUUUUGGGGGGGAACAUCACUAGAUAUUGUUAUUACAACAGUAGUUACCAUAUGUUCAGCACCUAAAUAUGUAUGCCAGGCACUUUGCUGGGCACUUAACAUACAUGUAUAACCUCAUUUAAAGCUUCAUAUUAAUUCCAAGUUAGAUAUGGCUUCCAUUUUACUUACAACAAGAACUGAAACUUAAAACAGAUAAAGUUACAUGCCCAAGGGUCCACAGCUAGUAAGAAGAAAACAAAGCCAUUGUAAUAUCAAGAUCUGUCUGACUCUAAAGACUGUUUUUAACCACUACAUAUACUACAAAUACUUCCAUCGUGAGAGAGAAAUGAAGUUAGGGAUGGUCACAGAAUAGCAAAACUAAAUCAGGCAUUCACUCAGAUCACUUGGGGACCAUAUGGGAUUACUUCUGCGGUGCAUUAUUUGGCAGCCUUCCAAACGGUGUUCCACUGGAGGGUGAAGAUCACUUAUGCAUCUCUAGGGACUCUUUGCACAAAAAGGUAGUCUCCAGGUCAAAUUUAAUUUGUGUCUGCUCCGUCACUUCUACCUUGCACCUCAGUAGUUACUGACGUUUGGGAUUUAGAAUUGUGAAAAAGAAAUGAGUUUAGUUCCUAGACCUCAAAAAGCCUGCAAACCAAAACACAAUUUGCUUGAAAGAGUGACACGCUCCAAGUAUCUGAAGGGCUUUAGCAAAAAGAAUAAUGUAGGAUAGGCUAUGUAGCUUGACAGAAAGCUUACAUAUUUGCUCAGGUUGGUUCCUACAGUUUCCAAAGGCAAAUCAGUGUACUUCCUUAAAUAUGAUCACCACCAAAUAAAAUGUCAACAUCACAUGCCUGCAGUAGAAUGGGAAGAAAAGAAAUUGAUGUCAGGGUGUCAGUUGAAGAGCAGCUACUGAUAACUGACUUCACAUGUGGUGGGACAGGCACUCUUUUUGGACUGCCCAUUCUAGCAUCUUUCCUCUUUAGGAAAACUUAUCAAGGACCCUUUCUGGCCCCAAAGACCUUACUUUUUAAAGGAAGUCUAUGCAACUCGUGGGCAAGAAUCCAAACAUCAAUCCCUCAUGAUGAGGACAAGAAAAAAAAUGCUGGAUGAGUCCCCACAAGUGGGGCCACCAUACUGAGACAUAUGGAUGGGGGCAGGAGGCCCUGUGGCUUUUGGGGGCGUUGGAUGGACCAAGAGGGGUCCUAUGCGUGGGUGCAGCCAACAGCUUUCCACAACCACCUGGGAACCAGCUGCAUCAUCCUCAUAAUGUCUCAUUCCACCGCAACUAGGCUGGCCAGGUAGCAACAGUGAUGCUUUUGCUUUGGACAGCCCUGUCUUUCUUUUCAGACUUGGGUUAGUCUUCUGAGUCAAAGACGUCAGUGCUCUGAUGCCCCACAGCUUAGGCUUUGGGGUCAACCCUCUGGUGCCUCGCUGGAUGAAAAUGAACUCAGAAUAGUUUCCCAGGUUAAUGGCAGAUGCCCCUGGUCAGCUGAUUUGGGGGAAUGUCAUUUGAUGACAGCACUGGAGAUGUAGUGUAUGGUAUGAACUAUAAUAGUGUGCAAUCUAUAUCAAGACAGAAUAUCAAAUAUAGAAACUGAAAGAAGGCAGAAUGCAGCAGCUCAUGCCUGUAAUUCCAGCAAAAGCAGAAGAAUCGCUUGAGGCUAGGAGUUCAAGACCAGCCCUAGUGAGACCUCAUCUCUACUAAAAAAUUAGCCGUGCGUGGUGGCGAGCACCUAUAGUCCCAGCUGUUCAGGAAGGUGAGGAAGGAAGACAGCUUGAGCCCAGAAGUUAAGAGGUCACAGUGAGCUGUGAUUUAUGGAUUGUGCCACUGUGCUCCACUCUAGCCUGGGCGACAGAGCAAGACAGUCGAAAGAAAAAAGAAAAAGAAAAAAGAAAGAAACUGAAAGAAGCCUCUAAAAACUUCUUGCCUUCAGAGAUCUUGAAGAGAGACUGUUUUUUCAGAUGUUCAAUGGCACGUACCACACGAAAGUCAAGCUGCAGAGUUAAUGGGGAUUGUUGAACAGAGAGUUAAUGGGGAUUGCUUCUUUGUCCGAACAUUAUGACACUGUGGGAUGGCUAGAACCGUAAGUGCUGCGUAGGUCCGUAUAA
This is a long non-coding RNA of Pongo pygmaeus (Bornean orangutan), 5503 nucleotides long. RefSeq lists it as uncharacterized. Lineage: Eukaryota; Metazoa; Chordata; Mammalia; Primates; Hominidae. The transcript has 3 exons. The record is from RefSeq and is a predicted model, not a curated record.